Molecule: small RNA, 45 nt
Filed under: Plasmodium falciparum 3D7
Lineage: Eukaryota; Apicomplexa; Aconoidasida; Haemosporida; Plasmodiidae
Description: Pfa-rasR6519
Source: RNAcentral
AUUCUUCAAAUCGUUCUGACGUUUGUCGAUCGAAAUUUUCCUUCA